RNAcentral lists this long non-coding RNA (1285 nucleotides) under Suricata suricatta (meerkat). Its description in RNAcentral is "lncRNA (ENSSSUG00005020833.1)". The record is from RNAcentral. Lineage: Eukaryota; Metazoa; Chordata; Mammalia; Carnivora; Herpestidae.
AAUGUUUCUGGAAAAUGGAAUUCAGGGCAUGAAGGGAAGAGCUAGUCCCUGGAGCUUGGGGAGGUAUGGAUGAACACCGCAUGUAUUGAUGGAAUUUGUGCUGGGCCAUUAAGUAUUUAUCAAUGGAUACACAUGUGACUUGUUUUCAAGACAUGGGGCCUCACCAGCCUUUGUUCAUAUCUUCAGGUUUGUUUUCUUUUCGUUGUACAUGAUUGUACUUUUUUGACGGGGUGUAGGGGCGGAGAGGGAGGAGAGACAGACUCCCAAGCAGGCUCCAUGCUCAGUGUGGUGCCCAACGUGAGGCUCAAUCCCAUGAACAGUGAGAUCGUGACCUGAGCUGAAAUCAAGAGUCAGACACUAGGGGCUCCUGGGGGGCUCAGUCAGUUGAGCGUCCGGCUUUGGCUCAGGUCAUGAUCUCAUGGUUCGAGGGUUUGAGCCCCGUGUCGGGCUCUGUGCUGACAGCUAGCUCAGAGCCUGGAGGCUGUCUAAGGAUUGUGUGUCUAUCUCUCUCUCUCACCCUCCUCUGCUGACGCUGUCUCUCUCUGUCUCAAAAAUCAAUAAAAUAUUAAAAAAAAAAAAAAGAGUCAGACACUUAACUGACUGAGCCACCCAGGCGCCCUAUUUUCUUUUCCUUUGGCCCUUUCAAAACUAGACCUGUCAACAUGCAUCAAUUUCUGACCCAAACCAAGAGUAACCUGGAGAAAAUUCGAUAUCAACUCUGCCUCGUGCAGAUAUUGGUAAUGAAGGGACAGUAAGGCAUUGGUCCCUUUAUGGUGUGGGCACCACACACCCACAGGGUAGGGGAGCAGGGCCUUGGUUCAGCUCUGAGGGACAUUCCUGCUUACGUCAGCCUCAUGCUUUAUCCUGGCUAAAACACACACGCCCUCCCCCUGCGGCAAGGAAUGAUCUUAUUUCUUUUAUUCCUAAAGAUGCAAAAUGACGAGGUGAAGUUGUACACUGAGUCCAGAGCAAGUCACAGAAUUGCAGUGAGGACUCACCAGCUCCGUCAAGUUCAGGCUUGGCCCAGGUGCCUCUGGACACAGCCUUUGAAUCGCUUCUCGGCCUUUUGGCCAAGAUCAAGUGUGGACACAGCCUUUGCCUGGGCAUCCGCUCAGCUGCUGGAUUAACAGAAGUUGGAUUCAGAGCAUAUGGGAUCUCUUUUCUUUGAUCCAGUCCAAGAGGAUUGAGUUACUUAGCCCCUCGGAGAAGCUUGGGGAAACAUGGCCCCACCAGGAUGUGGGGGAGCACACGGCCCUGUGAGGCCCGGUCUUGUAGACGGUCCAGU